AACGAACGCUGGCGGCAUGCCUAACACAUGCAAGUCGAACGAGACCUUCGGGUCUAGUGGCGCACGGGUGCGUAACGCGUGGGAACCUGCCCUUAGGUUCGGAAUAACUCCCCGUAAGGGGUGCUAAUGCCGGAUAAUGUCUUCGGACCAAAGAUUUAUCGCCUUUGGAUGGGCCCGCGUUGGAUUAGCUAGUUGGUAGGGUAAAAGCCUAGCAAGGCGACGAUCCAUAGCUGGUCUGAGAGGAUGAUCAGCCACACUGGGGCUGAGACACGGCCCAGACUCCUACGGGAGGGAGGAGAGGGGAAUAUUGGACAAUGGGCGAAGGCCUGAUCCAGCAAUGCCGGGUGAGUGAUGAAGGCCUUAGGGUUGUAAAGCUCUUUUACCCGGGAUGAUAAUGACAGUACCGGGAGAAUAAGCUCCGGCUAACUCCGUG
RNAcentral lists this ribosomal RNA (433 nucleotides) under uncultured bacterium. RNAcentral describes it as "partial 16S ribosomal RNA". It matches the Rfam family "Bacterial small subunit ribosomal RNA", at positions 29 to 507 of the family's 1533-position model. The record is from RNAcentral.